This 799-nucleotide ribosomal RNA is filed under the name uncultured Cortinarius. RNAcentral describes it as "eukaryotic LSU rRNA". The stretch from base 522 to 799 matches the Rfam family "Eukaryotic large subunit ribosomal RNA", at positions 1 to 272 of the family's 3401-position model. The record is from RNAcentral. Lineage: Eukaryota; Fungi; Basidiomycota; Agaricomycetes; Agaricales; Cortinariaceae.
AGGAUCAUUAUUGAAAUAAACCUGACGGGUUGUUGCUGGCUCUCUAGGGAGCAUGUGCACGCCUUGUCAUCUUUAUAUCUCCACCUGUGCACUUUUUGUAGACCUUUCGGGUCUAUGUUGCUUCAAUUUACCCCAAUGUAUGUUAAUAGAAUGUUGUGCCUAUAAUAAUAUAUACAACUUUCAGCAACGGAUCUCUUGGCUCUCGCAUCGAUGAAGAACGCAGCGAAAUGCGAUAAGUAAUGUGAAUUGCAGAAUUCAGUGAAUCAUCGAAUCUUUGAACGCACCUUGCGCUCCUUGGUAUUCCGAGGAGCAUGCCUGUUUGAGUGUCAUUAAUAUAUAUCAACCUUCUCCUUGUUGAGAGGUUUGGAUGUGGGGGUUUGCUGGCCUUUAUAAAAAGGUUCAGCUCCUCUGAAAUGCAUUAGCAGAACAAACCUGUUCAUUGGUGUGAUAACUAUCUACGCUAUUGAAUGUGAGGGGCAGUUCAGCUUUCUAACCGUCCUUGGACAAAUUCAUCAUUAAUGUGACCUCAAAUCAGGUAGGACUACCCGCUGAACUUAAGCAUAUCAAUAAGCGGAGGAAAAGAAACUAACAAGGAUUCCCCUAGUAACUGCGAGUGAAGCGGGAAAAGCUCAAAUUUAAAAUCUGGCGGUCUUUGGCCGUCCGAGUUGUAAUCUAGAGAAGUGUUAUCCGCGCUGGACCGUGUACAAGUCUCCUGGAAUGGAGCAUCAUAGAGGGUGAGAAUCCCGUCUUUGACAUGGACUGCCAGGGCUUUGUGAUGCGCUCUCAAAGAGUCGAGUUG